CACUUAACCUCUGUUUGCUUUAAUCCACCGGAAAAGGAAAUGGCCAACCCCAACAGCAUUUUCGCCAGGAAAAUUCCUUGGAGAUAAUAUGGUCCUCCGGGUCAUGAAGAAUCAGAUGCGACUGAGCAACACCAACACAUUUGCACUGCUCUUUUGCAUAACUAACAUUUGAUGACCAGACUCAAAGUCCACCUUAAAGAGAGAAGAGCAAGAUUCCAGGGAUAACUGUUACACCUGACUUCAAGCUUAUGUAAAUGGCCUAACUGGGGCAGCACAUAUACCCUACAGACUCUAAAGGCGGGGAGUUUGGAAAUUGAGCAAUGUUUGAACCUACUCCUGUGUGACUGGGAAACGGAACCACCUGCACCUGCUGACCAGAGACCCCAAUCAAUGACCUAGGUUAUGUCUAGUGAUCCAUGUGAGGAGUUUCCUCAUAAUUGUGCCUCUAAGCAACCCAUAUCUCUUCUCUGAAAGGUGACCCCACUCUGAUUGCCUAGUUAUUGUUUCCUCGUUCUUUUGAUUGUGUACAGCUACUUGGCAGGUUUUGUGGGACAGGCCAGCCCACAUCAGAGUGACUUGCCCAGAGUCACACAGCUAGGAAGCGUAAGAAAAUAUAUGAUCACUCUUUGGUUUUGACCCUAAUGCAUUCAUCAUUUCCUUCUUUUCCUUAAUUUGACUUGAUA
RNAcentral lists this long non-coding RNA (683 nucleotides) under Monodelphis domestica (gray short-tailed opossum). Its description in RNAcentral is "lncRNA (ENSMODG00000037060.1)". Lineage: Eukaryota; Metazoa; Chordata; Mammalia; Didelphimorphia; Didelphidae. The record is from RNAcentral.